AGGUCAGCCCCUGCAAGCAUUUCAGCAGGGCGGCCGUGGACGGGAAGAAGGUGAUCGACAAGGGGUCGCACUUCGUCGUGGUCGGUGAUGAUCACGACGAGUUCGAGUUGAGCUUCAUGGCUUGAGAGUUGAGAGAAAUCUAAUCUGCUGCUGCUUCGAUCGGUAGAUGAGGCGUUGAGUUAUGUCGAUCUACAAGUGUAAUCACCCUUGCUUCUUCGAAUGAAGGACGGACCCCUGUCUAACUUAUCUGAACGAGAG
Molecule: long non-coding RNA, 258 nt
Filed under: Brachypodium distachyon (stiff brome)
Lineage: Eukaryota; Viridiplantae; Streptophyta; Magnoliopsida; Poales; Poaceae
Description: long non-coding RNA (BDIS_LNC004073)
Source: RNAcentral